GAAUAACCAGUUUUUUAUUACAAAAGAAAUUACACCAUCACGCACAAAACAGCCAGUAUCACGCCCGGCAACGUCACUCUGCUGACUUUUCUAAAAAGAUGUCGUAAUGCCCGGAAUAUGGGCACUCCUGUAAAUCGAAUAUCGGAAAUAUUCGCAUGAUUCAUUUCUUUUUUUUUCAACCCGGAAACGGAAACUCAUACCUG
This is a long non-coding RNA of Daphnia pulicaria, 203 nucleotides long. RefSeq lists it as uncharacterized. The transcript has 3 exons. The record is from RefSeq and is a predicted model, not a curated record. NCBI's taxonomy places the organism in Eukaryota, Metazoa, Arthropoda, Branchiopoda, Diplostraca, Daphniidae.